GCCGAGGUGGCGGAAUUGGUAGACGCACUAGUUUCAGGGACUAGCGCUUCACGGCGUGUGGGUUCAAGUCCCAUCCUCGGCA
RNAcentral lists this transfer RNA (82 nucleotides) under Deinococcus puniceus. It matches the Rfam family "tRNA". From Rfam's summary of the family: Transfer RNA (tRNA) molecules are approximately 80 nucleotides in length. Lineage: Bacteria; Thermotogati; Deinococcota; Deinococci; Deinococcales; Deinococcaceae. The record is from Rfam by way of RNAcentral.